CAUAGGUUAAUGAGGCGAACCGGGGGAACUGAAACAUCUAAGUACCCCGAGGAAAAGAAAUCAACCGAGAUUCCCCCAGUAGCGGCGAGCGAACGGGGAGGAGCCCAGAGCCUGAAUCAGUGUGUGUGUUAGUGGAAGCGUCUGGAAAGGCGCGCGAUACAGGGUGACAGCCCCGUACACAAAAAUGCACAUACUGUGAGCUCGAUGAGUAGGGCGGGACACGUGGUAUCCUGUCUGAAUAUGGGGGGACCAUCCUCCAAGGCUAAAUACUCCUGACUGACCGAUAGUGAACCAGUACCGUGAGGGAAAGGCGAAAAGAACCCCGGCGAGGGGAGUGAAAAAGAACCUGAAACCGUGUACGUACAAGCAGUGGGAGCCUCUUUUAUGGGGUGACUGCGUACCUUUUGUAUAAUGGGUCAGCGACUUAUAUUCUGUAGCAAGGUUAACCGAAUAGGGGAGCCGAAGGGAAACCGAGUCUUAACUGGGCGUUAAGUUGCAGGGUAUAGACCCGAAACCCGGUGAUCUAGCCAUGGGCAGGUUGAAGGUUGGGUAACACUAACUGGAGGACCGAACCGACUAAUGUUGAAAAAUUAGCGGAUGACUUGUGGCUGGGGGUGAAAGGCCAAUCAAACCGGGAGAUAGCUGGUUCUCCCCGAAAGCUAUUUAGGUAGCGCCUCGUGAAUUCAUCUCCGGGGGUAGAGCACUGUUUCGGCAAGGGGGUCAUCCCGACUUACCAACCCGAUGCAAACUGCGAAUACCGGAGAAUGUUAUCACGGGAGACACACGGCGGGUGCUAACGUCCGUCGUGAAGAGGGAAACAACCCAGACCGCCAGCUAAGGUCCCAAAGUCAUGGUUAAGUGGGAAACGAUGUGGGAAGGCCCAGACAGCCAGGAUGUUGGCUUAGAAGCAGCCAUCAUUUAAAGAAAGCGUAAUAGCUCACUGGUCGAGUCGGCCUGCGCGGAAGAUGUAACGGGGCUAAACCAUGCACCGAAGCUGCGGCAGCGACACUGUGUGUUGUUGGGUAGGGGAGCGUUCUGUAAGCCUGUGAAGGUGUGCUGUGAGGCAUGCUGGAGGUAUCAGAAGUGCGAAUGCUGACAUAAGUAACGAUAAAGCGGGUGAAAAGCCCGCUCGCCGGAAGACCAAGGGUUCCUGUCCAACGUUAAUCGGGGCAGGGUGAGUCGACCCCUAAGGCGAGGCCGAAAGGCGUAGUCGAUGGGAAACAGGUUAAUAUUCCUGUACUUGGUGUUACUGCGAAGGGGGGACGGAGAAGGCUAUGUUGGCCGGGCGACGGUUGUCCCGGUUUAAGCGUGUAGGCUGGUUUUCCAGGCAAAUCCGGAAAAUCAAGGCUGAGGCGUGAUGACGAGGCACUACGGUGCUGAAGCAACAAAUGCCCUGCUUCCAGGAAAAGCCUCUAAGCAUCAGGUAACAUCAAAUCGUACCCCAAACCGACACAGGUGGUCAGGUAGAGAAUACCAAGGCGCUUGAGAGAACUCGGGUGAAGGAACUAGGCAAAAUGGUGCCGUAACUUCGGGAGAAGGCACGCUGAUAUGUAGGUGAAGUCCCUCGCGGAUGGAGCUGAAAUCAGUCGAAGAUACCAGCUGGCUGCAACUGUUUAUUAAAAACACAGCACUGUGCAAACACGAAAGUGGACGUAUACGGUGUGACGCCUGCCCGGUGCCGGAAGGUUAAUUGAUGGGGUCAGCGCAAGCGAAGCUCUUGAUCGAAGCCCCGGUAAACGGCGGCCGUAACUAUAACGGUCCUAAGGUAGCGAAAUUCCUUGUCGGGUAAGUUCCGACCUGCACGAAUGGCGUAAUGAUGGCCAGGCUGUCUCCACCCGAGACUCAGUGAAAUUGAACUCGCUGUGAAGAUGCAGUGUACCCGCGGCAAGACGGAAAGACCCCGUGAACCUUUACUAUAGCUUGACACUGAACAUUGAGCCUUGAUGUGUAGGAUAGGUGGGAGGCUUUGAAGUGUGGACGCCAGUCUGCAUGGAGCCGACCUUGAAAUACCACCCUUUAAUGUUUGAUGUUCUAACGUGGACCCGUGAUCCGGGUUGCGGACAGUGUCUGGUGGGUAGUUUGACUGGGGCGGUCUCCUCCUAAAGAGUAACGGAGGAGCACGAAGGUUGGCUAAUCCUGGUCGGACAUCAGGAGGUUAGUGCAAUGGCAUAAGCCAGCUUGACUGCGAGCGUGACGGCGCGAGCAGGUGCGAAAGCAGGUCAUAGUGAUCCGGUGGUUCUGAAUGGAAGGGCCAUCGCUCAACGGAUAAAAGGUACUCCGGGGAUAACAGGCUGAUACCGCCCAAGAGUUCAUAUCGACGGCGGUGUUUGGCACCUCGAUGUCGGCUCAUCACAUCCUGGGGCUGAAGUAGGUCCCAAGGGUAUGGCUGUUCGCCAUUUAAAGUGGUACGCGAGCUGGGUUUAGAACGUCGUGAGACAGUUCGGUCCCUAUCUGCCGUGGGCGCUGGAGAACUGAGGGGGGCUGCUCCUAGUACGAGAGGACCGGAGUGGACGCAUCACUGGUGUUCGGGUUGUCAUGCCAAUGGCACUGCCCGGUAGCUAAAUGCGGAAGAGAUAAGUGCUGAAAGCAUCUAAGCACGAAACUUGCCCCGAGAUGAGUUCUCCCUGACCCUUUAAGGGUCCUGAAGGAACGUUGAAGACGACGACGUUGAUAGGCCGGGUGUGUAAGCGCAGCGAUGCGUUGAGCUAACCGGUACUAAUGAACCGUGAGGCUUAACCUUACAACGCCGAAGGUGUUU
Molecule: ribosomal RNA, 2758 nt
Filed under: Escherichia coli
Lineage: Bacteria; Pseudomonadati; Pseudomonadota; Gammaproteobacteria; Enterobacterales; Enterobacteriaceae
Description: partial 23S ribosomal RNA
Rfam family: Bacterial large subunit ribosomal RNA
Source: RNAcentral